RNAcentral lists this ribosomal RNA (1550 nucleotides) under marine metagenome. RNAcentral's name for it is "bacterial LSU rRNA". It matches the Rfam family "Bacterial large subunit ribosomal RNA", at positions 483 to 1991 of the family's 2925-position model. The record is from RNAcentral.
ACCGAUAGUGAACUAGUACCGUGAGGGAAAGGUGAAAAGUACUCCUAACGGAGAGUGAAAUAGAACCUGAAACCGUAUGCCUACAAGCAGUCGGAGUUCCGAUUUAUCGGGAUGACGGCGUGCCUUUUGCAUAAUGAGCCAGCGAGUUGCUCGUAUGUUGCAAGGUUAAUCCCUUUAUGGGAGGAGCCGAAGCGAAAGCGAGUCUGAAUAGGGCGAUUCAGUAACAUGCGGCAGACCCGAAGCCGAGUGAUCUAUCCAUGGCCAGGUUGAAGCGACAGUAACAUGUUGUGGAGGACCGAACCCACAAGGGUUGAAAACCUUGGGGAUGAGCUGUGGAUAGGGGUGAAAGACCAAUCAAACUCGGCGAUUUCUGGUUCUCCCCGAAAUGCCUUUAGGGGCAGCGUCGUGGAAGUGCCUCGGGGGUAGAGCACUGGAUGGACUAGGGGCCCUACAAGGUUACCAAACCCAACCAAACUCCGAAUACCAAGAUUAUGAUCCGUGGCAGUGAGGCCGUGGGGGAUAAGCUUCAUGGCCGAAAGGGAAACAACCCAGACCAACAGCUAAGGUCCCCAAAUCCGGGUUAAGUGACAAAGGAUGUGGGAUUGCUUAAACAGCUAGGAGGUUGGCUUAGAGGCAGCCAUCCUUUAAAGAAAGCGUAACAGCUCACUAGUCAAGGAAUCCUGCGCCAAUAAUCUCCGGGACUGAUAAACCCGGUACCGAAGCUAUGGUCUUUCCGAUUUAUCGGGAAGAGGUAGGGGAGCGUUCCAUUAACCUGUGAAGCCUUUGCCGGAAGGCGGGGUGGAGGAGAUGGAAGUGAGUAUGCUGGCAUAAGUAGCGAUAAACUCGAUGAAAUUUCGAGUCACCGAAAGCCUAAGGUUUCCUGAGUAAAGUAAAUCUGCUCAGGGUUAGUCGGACCCUAAGCCGAGGCCGAAAGGCGUAGGCGAUGGAUAACAGGUGAAUAUUCCUGUACUACCCUGUUGUUGUCUGAGUGAUGGGGGGACGCAGAAGUGAAAGGUCAGCCCGGUUUUGAUUGUCCGGGUUUAAGUGAGUAGGGGGUUCUGGUAGGCAAAUCCGCCGGAACUUAACCCCGAGACACGAAUAGGAGGGCCUAGCCCAUAAACUGACCCUAAUCAUGCUGCCAAGAAAAUCCUCUAAACAAGAUGACAGGGUAACCGUACCUCAAACCGACACAGGUAGGCGAGAUGAGUAUUCUAAGGUGCUUGGGUGAAUUCCAGUUAAGGAACUCGGCAAAUUGACCCCGUAACUUCGGGAGAAGGGGUGCCUCGAUUAGAUGAAAUCUCCUUCGGGCAGAUGGAGUCGAAAGAGGCCGCAGUGAAAUGGCUCGGGCGACUGUUUACUAAAAACACAGGUCUCUGCUAAGUCGUAAGACGAAAUAUAGGGACUGACACCUGCCCGGUGCCGGAAGGUUAAGGGAACGUGUUAUCCCGCUUCGGCGGGAGAAGCUCAGAACCGAAGCCCCGGUAAACGGCGGCCGUAACUAUAACGGUCCUAAGGUAGCGAAAUUCCUUGUCGGGUAAGUUCCGACCUGC